CGAAAUACGCUAAACAGGCUGAAGAGAGCAAAUAUAGGAGCUGCAAACGAAUUCCUAAGACUGGCAGAUUGGCUAGAAAAAGCAGUCAGUUUAUCCAAGGAUACUGCAACGUUACGUUACUCAAGUGGGUGCUUAGCAGUUGGUCAGGAUUCCGUCAGAUGAACAGCUGUUGGAUUAAAUGAUGCCAAUUAACUCCCAAUUGAGGGGCAGACAUAUGUUAUCCAGCUGCAGCAAAGAUUUUAGGAUGGAUUAAUUACAGGAACGUAAAUAAAUUAGCAGCAGAUUGUAGGAAUUAACCAGUUCAUAGAAUCCUAUAUCUGUUAAGACGGAUUAGCGACGAAAUUAACUCCGAUCAUGUCUGGAGAGGGCGAGUAAAAAGGAUCAGGAACAGCAGCAUAAAAAUAGAAUUAAAAAACCAGAAUUUUAUUUUUUCCAGAAUUUUUCCAGAAUUAAGAAAACCAAUUUUAGUUUUAAUGAAUUAUAUUUAAGUAGUUUAAGUAAUUUUGUGUUAAUAAAAUGUAAUAAAUCAUCGAUCAGAUGUGAAAAAUUCAA
Molecule: non-coding RNA, 552 nt
Organism: Drosophila bipectinata
Lineage: Eukaryota; Metazoa; Arthropoda; Insecta; Diptera; Drosophilidae
Source: RefSeq, a predicted model, not a curated record